Non-coding RNA from Podarcis lilfordi (Lilford's wall lizard), 66 nucleotides. The record is from the annotation of a GenBank genome assembly. NCBI's taxonomy places the organism in Eukaryota, Metazoa, Chordata, Lepidosauria, Squamata, Lacertidae.
UCAGCUUAGUGGUAGAGCAUCUCCUUUGCAUGCAAAAGUUCCCAGGUUUGAUCCCUGGCAUCUCAU